RNAcentral lists this ribosomal RNA (430 nucleotides) under Pseudomonadota bacterium. RNAcentral describes it as "Proteobacteria bacterium partial 16S ribosomal RNA". It matches the Rfam family "Bacterial small subunit ribosomal RNA", at positions 355 to 776 of the family's 1533-position model. Lineage: Bacteria; Pseudomonadati; Pseudomonadota. The record is from RNAcentral.
UGGGGAAUAUUGGACAAUGGGGGGAACCCUGAUCCAGCCAUGCCGCGUGUGUGAAGAAGGCCUUAUGGUUGUAAAGCACUUUAAGCGAGGAGGAGGGUACUGGUAUUAAUACUACCAGGUACUGGACGUUACUCGCAGAAUAAGCAACGGCUAACUCUGUGCCAGCAGCCGCGGUAAUACAGAGGGUGCGAGCGUUAAUCGGAUUUACUGGGCGUAAAGCGUGCGUAGGCGGCUAAUUGAGUCGGAUGUGAAAUCCCCGAGCUUAACUUGGGAAUUGCAUUCGAUACUGGUUAGCUAGAGUGUGGGAGAGGAUGGUAGAGUUCCAGGUGUAGCGGUGAAAUGCGUAGAGAUCUGGAGGAAUACCGAUGGCGAAGGCAGCCAUCUGGCCUAACACUGACGCUGAGGUACGAAAGCAUGGGGAGCAAACAGG